This 301-nucleotide ribosomal RNA is filed under the name uncultured bacterium. RNAcentral's name for it is "partial 16S ribosomal RNA". It matches the Rfam family "Bacterial small subunit ribosomal RNA", at positions 509 to 807 of the family's 1533-position model. The record is from RNAcentral.
CAGCAGCCGCGGGAAUACGUAGGUGGCGAGCGUUGUCCGGAUUUAUUGGGCGUAAAGGGAGUGUAGGCGGUCUUUUAAGUCUGAUGUGAAGGCCCACGGCUCAACCGUGGAGGGUCAUUGGAAACUGGGAGACUUGAGUGCAGAAGAGGAGAGCGGAACUCCAUGUGUAGCGGUGAAAUGCGUAGAUAUAUGGAGGAACACCAGUGGCGAAGGCGGCUCUCUGGUCUGUAACUGACGCUGAGGCUCGAAAGCGUGGGGAGCAAACAGGAUUAGAUACCCCCGUAGUCCCUGUCUCUUAUAC